RNAcentral lists this ribosomal RNA (465 nucleotides) under Vreelandella stevensii. Its description in RNAcentral is "partial 16S ribosomal RNA". It matches the Rfam family "Bacterial small subunit ribosomal RNA", at positions 338 to 795 of the family's 1533-position model. The record is from RNAcentral. Lineage: Bacteria; Pseudomonadati; Pseudomonadota; Gammaproteobacteria; Oceanospirillales; Halomonadaceae.
CCUACGGGGGGCUGCAGUGGGGAAUAUUGGACAAUGGGGGCAACCCUGAUCCAGCCAUGCCGCGUGUGUGAAGAAGGCCCUCGGGUUGUAAAGCACUUUCAGUGAGGAAGAACGCCUGGUGGUUAAUACCCAUCAGGAAAGACAUCACUCACAGAAGAAGCACCGGCUAACUCCGUGCCAGCAGCCGCGGUAAUACGGAGGGUGCGAGCGUUAAUCGGAAUUACUGGGCGUAAAGCGCGCGUAGGUGGCUUGAUAAGCCGGUUGUGAAAGCCCCGGGCUCAACCUGGGAACGGCAUCCGGAACUGGCAAGCUAGAGUGCAGGAGAGGAAGGUGGAAUUCCCGGUGUAGCGGUGAAAUGCGUAGAGAUCGGGAGGAAUACCAGUGGCGAAGGCGGCCUUCUGGACUGACACUGACACUGAGGUGCGAAAGCGUGGGUAGCAAACAGGAUUAGAUACCCGAGUAGUC